AGGACGAACGCUGGCGGCGUGCUUAACACAUGCAAGUCGAGCGAGGCUCUUCCUUCGGGAAGAUGUCCUAGCGGCGAACGGGUGAGUAACACGUGGGCAACCUGCCCCUAGCACUGGGAUAACCCCGGGAAACCGGGGCUAAUACCGGAUAUCACUUCGGAAGGCAUCUUCUGGAGUUGAAAGGGUUACUGGCUAGGGAUGGGCCCGCGGCCUAUCAGCUUGUUGGUGGGGUAAUGGCCUACCAAGGCGACGACGGGUA
Molecule: ribosomal RNA, 259 nt
Filed under: uncultured bacterium
Lineage: Bacteria
Description: partial small subunit ribosomal RNA
Rfam family: Bacterial small subunit ribosomal RNA
Source: RNAcentral